GGGGGUGCACAUAGGUUUUAUGUGUGUUUAUUUUUCUUGUUUUUAUGUUUAUUCUUGUGUUUAUUUUAGUUUUUAUGCAUUUUUAAAAAAAAAUAAAAAAUCAAAACAUUAUUUUCCAUUUUUGUUUUAAAAUUUUCCAGAAAUCCAAAAAUAUUUAUUGUUUUUUUUUUUUUAUUCUUGUAUGGUGCUUGGACUAUAAGUAGGUAUUAAGUUACUACUUG
This 221-nucleotide long non-coding RNA is filed under the name Gossypium raimondii (Peruvian cotton). Its description in RNAcentral is "long non-coding RNA (GRAI_LNC000701)". Lineage: Eukaryota; Viridiplantae; Streptophyta; Magnoliopsida; Malvales; Malvaceae. The record is from RNAcentral.